AUUGAACGCUGGCGGCAUGCUUUACACAUGCAAGUCGAACGGCAGCGCGGGGGCAACCCUGGCGGCGAGUGGCGAACGGGUGAGUAAUGCAUCGGAACGUAUCCUGUAAUGGGGGAUAACGUAGCGAAAGUUACGCUAAUACCGCAUACGCUCGAGAGAGGAAAGUGGGGGAUCGCAAGACCUCACGUUAUAGGAGCGGCCGAUGUCCGAUUAGCUAGUUGGUGGGGUAAAGGCCUACCAAGGCGACGAUCGGUAGCUGGUCUGAGAGGAUGAUCAGCCACACUGGGACUGAGACACGGCCCAGACUCCUACGGGAGGCAGCAGUGGGGAAUUUUGGACAAUGGGCGAAAGCCUGAUCCAGCCAUGCCGCGUGCGGGAAGAAGGGCCCUUCGGGUUGGUAAACCGACUUAGUCGGAAAACGGGUAGGCGAGGAGUAAU
RNAcentral lists this ribosomal RNA (438 nucleotides) under uncultured bacterium. RNAcentral's name for it is "bacterial SSU rRNA". It matches the Rfam family "Bacterial small subunit ribosomal RNA", at positions 29 to 464 of the family's 1533-position model. The record is from RNAcentral.